Molecule: ribosomal RNA, 255 nt
Filed under: uncultured bacterium
Lineage: Bacteria
Description: partial 16S ribosomal RNA
Rfam family: Bacterial small subunit ribosomal RNA
Source: RNAcentral
UACAGAGGCCUCGAGCGUUGUUCGGAAUUACGUGGGCGUAAAGAGAACGUAGGUGGUGACGUAAGUCAGAUGUGAAAGCCCUGGGCUUAACCUGGGAAGUGCAUUUGAUACUGCGUUGCUGGAGUACGAAAGAGGAAAGCGGAAUUUCCAGUGUAGGAGUGAAAUCCGUAGAUAUUGGAAGGAAUACCGAUGGCGAAGGCAGCUUUCUGGUUCGUAACUGAACACUGAGGUUCGAAAGCGUGGGUAGCAAACAGG